GGUUGGUCCGCGUGUAGUGGUGUUUGCAACUAACUGAUCACAACCAGUUACAGAUUCCUUUGUUCCUUCUCCACUCCCACUGCUUCACCUGACCAUCCUUAA
RNAcentral lists this Y RNA (102 nucleotides) under Microcebus murinus (gray mouse lemur). RNAcentral describes it as "Y RNA (ENSMICG00000043856.1)". It matches the Rfam family "Y RNA". From Rfam's summary of the family: Y RNAs are components of the Ro ribonucleoprotein particle (Ro RNP), in association with Ro60 and La proteins. The Y RNAs and Ro60 and La proteins are well conserved, but the function of the Ro RNP is not known. The record is from Rfam by way of RNAcentral. Lineage: Eukaryota; Metazoa; Chordata; Mammalia; Primates; Cheirogaleidae.